GAUGAACGCUGACGGCGUGCUUAACACAUGCAAGUCGAACGGAAAGGCCUCAGCUUGCUGGGGUACUCGAGUGGCGAACGGGUGAGUAACACGUGGGUGAUCUGCCCUGCACUUUGGGAUAAGCUUGGGAAACUGGGUCUAAUACCGAAUAUGACCACUUCUUGGAUGUUGUGGUGGAAAGCUUUUGCGGUGUGGGAUGAGCCUGCGGCCUAUCAGCUUGUUGGUGGGGUAAUGGCCUACCAAGGCGGCGACGGGUAUCCGGCCUGAGAGGGUGUACGGACACAUUGGGACUGAGAUACGGCCCAGACUCCUACGGGAGGCGGCAGUGGGGAAUAUUGCACAAUGGGCGCAAGCCUGAUGCAGCGACGCCGCGUGGGGGAUGAAGGCCUUCGGGUUGUAAACUCCUUUCGCUAUCGACGAAGCCACUUGUGGUGACGGUAGGUAGAUAAGAAGCACCGGCUAACUACGUGCCAGCAGCCGCAGUAA
RNAcentral lists this ribosomal RNA (486 nucleotides) under uncultured bacterium. Its description in RNAcentral is "partial 16S ribosomal RNA". It matches the Rfam family "Bacterial small subunit ribosomal RNA", at positions 28 to 523 of the family's 1533-position model. The record is from RNAcentral.